CGGCCAUUCGUUAGCUCAGUUGGUUAGAGCGUCGUGCUAAUAACGCGAAGGUCGCGGGUUCGAUCCCCUCACGGCCGU
RNAcentral lists this transfer RNA (78 nucleotides) under Trichonephila inaurata madagascariensis. RNAcentral's name for it is "tRNA-Ile". It matches the Rfam family "tRNA". Rfam says of the family: Transfer RNA (tRNA) molecules are approximately 80 nucleotides in length. Lineage: Eukaryota; Metazoa; Arthropoda; Arachnida; Araneae; Nephilidae. The record is from RNAcentral.